GUGAAUCUUCAAGCGAUCUUGCCAUACGAUGAGUAAGUUGGACUAUCAAUCAAAUUAAAUGUAUGUAUCAAAAAAUCACCAACUAAACUUGAAUUUCUCAUUCACCAAUUAGAAAAUUCUUGAAUUGGCCCACCUUAUUCCGUUAACUCUUACCACCAUGGUUUGGUGGCUCAACCUUAAAACCUCUCCAACGCAAUUUUUCGGGUUUCUAUGAGGAAAUUUGCGAAAGGGACAAAUGUCAAAUUCUGUGUUUUGGUUGAGAUUUGAUACGUGGUGAAGUUGAAGAGGUGUGGUAUAUGAAUGGCUAAGAUGUUGGUGCGAUAGGAAGGAGGGAUAGAGAAAAGCA
This 346-nucleotide unclassified non-coding RNA is filed under the name Hevea brasiliensis (rubber tree). The record is from RNAcentral. Lineage: Eukaryota; Viridiplantae; Streptophyta; Magnoliopsida; Malpighiales; Euphorbiaceae.